AAACGGGGUGCUGGCGCGAAAGCCGGCUGAGAGUAAGACUGUAAGUGUCUUUAACCCAUAUACCUGAUCUGGAUAAUGCCAGCGUAGGAACAAAAAAUA
This 99-nucleotide non-coding RNA is filed under the name Bariatricus massiliensis. Lineage: Bacteria; Bacillati; Bacillota; Clostridia; Lachnospirales; Lachnospiraceae. The record is from RNAcentral.